This 3300-nucleotide long non-coding RNA is filed under the name Nicotiana benthamiana. Its description in RNAcentral is "long non-coding RNA (NBEN_LNC005120)". The record is from RNAcentral. Lineage: Eukaryota; Viridiplantae; Streptophyta; Magnoliopsida; Solanales; Solanaceae.
GGCUGCCGGAGAUGGAAUCAAUGGCGUCGGCGAUCGGAGUAUCAGUGCCGGUGCUCCGUUUCCUGCUUUGUUUCGUCGCCACCAUUCCGGUGAGCUUCCUCCACCGUUUUGUCCCUAGCGCCGUUGGUAGACACCUCUACGCCGCCGUUACCGGCGCUGUUCUCUCGUACCUGUCAUUUGGUUUCUCCUCAAAUCUUCACUUCUUUGGGCCUAUGCUUCUGGGUUAUGUUUCUAUGGUUGUCUCUCGCCGUUACUGCGGGAUUGCUUUGUUUUGUCGCCACAAUUCCGGUGAGCUUCCUCCACCGUUUUGUCCCUAGCGCCGUCGGUAGACACCUCUACGCCGCCGUUACCGGCGCUGUUCUCUCGUACCUGUCAUUUGGUUUCUCCUCAAAUCUUCACUUCUUUGGGCCUAUGCUUCUGGGUUAUGUUUCUAUGGUUGUCUCUCGCCGUUACUGCGGGAUCAUCACUUUCUUCGCCGCGUUUGGAUACCUUAUUGGAUGGUACAUUACAUUCCCAAUCAUAAAGCUCUUUCUUUUUACUCCCUUCGUUCCUAAUUUAUUUUGUUUGAUUGGUCAUGAAGUUUAAGUAAAAAGGAAAGAAUUUAGAAACUUGUAUUCUAAAACAAGUCAUAAACAUUAAUGUAGUUAUAAAUGGUAUAAUUAGAAGUUUGAAGUUAAUUGUUUUCUGAAUAUAGAAAUAUGUUUUUUAUUUUCUGGACAGACUAAAAAGAAAAGAGUAUCAAAUAUAAUAGAUCAAUUUUAUUAUAACUAUUAUUAUUAUUAUUGUUAUUAUUAUUAUUUUGUGUUUGCUAUAAACUCCUACCAUAGUCAUGGCUGAAUGGUUAAGGUGUGGGGAGUAACCACUCGACCACCCGGAAUUCCCACCAUAUUUGGGCCGUUUGGUUCACAUAGUACUAGUAAUACUUGUUAAUACAAAGACCAAGGUGUCAGUUAUUCCAUGUCGUAUUCAGUAUAAUACUUAGAUUUAAGGUAUAAGUUAUGCUCGAAUGAAUAUGCCAACCAAACACAGGAUAAAUAAUACGGUAUGGAUUUUGUAUUGGAUAAAUUUUUCUUAAUCCCUUCAACUGGACGGCCCUUUAGUACGAGUCCAUCUGUACUAAACUUGGUAGAGACAGUGGACUGAUUUUUCCAGCAACUGUGUUUGUAGGUUGUAAUUGGGUGGUCAAUUAGUCCAGGUGAACAUACAAUUAUUAAUAGGAAAGCAAAGAUCCUACUAUGUUGGAGUUGGUUUCAUUGGUUGGUAAACUUUGAAACAGUCGGAUUUAAAAUCUGGAAAGCUGCCCCCCAAUCUUUUGCAUUUAAAAAAAAAACUCUGAUGGAAGCUUCUAAAUUUCCGUUAAGAUAUUUGAAAGUUAUUUGGUACAACUUGCAGCCAUGUAUACUACAUGAGUGGAGACGCAUGGAAGGAAGGAGGAAUUGAUGCUACAGGUAAGCACGAGCUGGAUCUUUGUCCUUGCCUCGUUUCUAUUGAAUGUAAUAAUAUAUAUGAAUCAUGCUCUUGACCCCAUUUCAUUGAUGUGUUACAUACAUAUGUUUUGAUACAACCCAGCAAAUGCAUUCUGACUCAGCUGGAAAUUUACUUAUUAAGAGAACCUAAGUAGUUUUAUGGGUCAAUUACUACACCUGCCCUCCAGUAUUUAGAAAUAAAGUCGACCUUUCAUGAAGCAUAUGAAUACCUCUCAUAUCAAAUGUUCGAUUUGGACUAUGUCAAAAUUUCCAAGCUUGACGAGAAUGUUCUUCCUUCAAUGAGAGGGAGACCAAUUGGAAACAAAAUUGCAUGUUCUUAAAAACUAAACAAAAUCACAGAGAAGGAAGUAGGUUCAGCUAUACAGUGAUUGAGGUGGAACUGCUGCCACCAUAAUUGGACGAAACAAGGUCUAUUUAUCAUUAGUUAAAUAUGACAGGCUUAUCUAAAACAUUUUGAUGGGUUAGAUUUACCUAGGGGUGGCUAAAUGAUUCAAAGAAAACUGAUGACCACCCAUAUUAUCCACUAAAAAAUGAGUUGGAUAAUGAACUUUUUAAAAACGGAUCAAAUAUGGAUAAGAACCAUAUUAUCUAUUUAGAAAAUGGAUAACCAAUGGGUCUAACUUUUACGUUUGUAAAGCCUUAAAUUGGAGGUUCCUCAAGUUAGAAGGACCAAAAAUUCUCCCAAAAGUGAUCAUAUACAAAAAGUCAUUGAUAAUAUCGGUAACUCAUAUUAUCCGCCGGUUAACCCGUUUUUUAACCAUAUUAAAUAUGAGUGGGGUCGCAAAAUUGAUCCAUUUUUUCAUUACCCGUUUGCGACCCGAACCAUAUCCGACCCGACCCGACCCUUUACACUCCUAGAUUUACCCAUAUGUAAGUAUCUGGAUACCUACCUCUCUCUCUCCUUUUAAUUCUCUUGUUAUUGUGUUUAGGAAAUGGAAUUAUUUCAGCAAGUAAGGUUGCAAAAUAAAAUCUCUGAUAGUUUCUGGGACAUCAUUGUCCCUCGAAAGGUUUUUGGAGGGUGAUGUCAGAGGAGGUUUGAUAAUGACAUUUUUAGCUAGAGAGGAGGUCCAACAUUUUUUUUUAAAUAGAGGGAGGUCCACUUAGUGUCACUAAACUAGAGGGGCGGUCUAAGUAAUUUACCUGGAGUCUCCUUCUUCAAUGAGGUAAGGAGUUAGGUUGGUUUCCAUCAGUAAGAUCUCCUGACUCUAAAAUUCAAAACAAUCAAUGACUGUCAUUUAGUGGCAAGAUGAUAGACACAAAUUAGGAUUGGCAGUGAGCUGAUUUAUUUCAUAUUGGAUGAAAAUAUUAGACCAUCCCAGGAGAAAUGGCCGUUUUGUUAUAUUAUUACAUUUCUGGAUGGUGUAUUCUUAUAGUGUUCACAUUUAGAGGCGGAUGUAGCGAACAACUAAUGGGUUCAACUGAACCCAUAACUUUCGAUGCGAUGUAAAAAUUACGUGUAAAAAUUCAUUAAAAUUGCAAAAAUAGUGGAUAUGAACCAAUAACUUUAAAAAUAUAAUGGGUUCACCGCUAAAAACCUUAAAAGUCGAACCUAUAGGACUUAAAUUCUGGAUCCGCCUCUGUUCACAUUGCUCUUAUUGGUAGACUACUCACAAUUAGGAACUUCACAUCUCGUGUUUCUAGACUUUUUAGCUAAUCCAAAAUGAUGAUGUUAUUUUCUCCAAAUUUUCAGGAGCUCUAAUGGUCAUAACGCUGAAAAUAAUUUCAUGUGUGAUUAAUUACCAAGAUGGAUUGUUGAAGGAGGAAGAUUUGCGUGAGGCUCAGAAGAAAAAUCGUCUGCUCAAAUUGCCAUCGU